RNAcentral lists this unclassified non-coding RNA (417 nucleotides) under Pseudognaphalium oligandrum. RNAcentral's name for it is "partial external transcribed spacer". Lineage: Eukaryota; Viridiplantae; Streptophyta; Magnoliopsida; Asterales; Asteraceae. The record is from RNAcentral.
AAAGGUGCAUGAGUGGUGUUUGGUUUGUUACGGGUGGUUGGCUAUUUGCUUGCGCAACAACUUCUACCUGGCAUACCUCUUCAGUCUUGUGUCAAUGCUUUUAUUGCAUUGAAUGCAUGAUGGGUUUCUUGUGUUGCAUGCCUAAUUAAUGGUAUCACUUGAUGAAUUGGUUUUCCUUUCGUCUGGCAUUGCCUAUGCGAUGUGAGAUGAACCUUGAAGCAGCCUUUGUGAUCCACUCUUUUGAUGCAUACGCAUUGAUUUUGUGGCUCAUUGAGUGUUGCUCGGUCUCAUGGAUACGGAACCUGGUGUGGGCAUGGAAUCUUAAUGGUUCCUUGUUUGCCCAAGUUUAGCUUUUCUAAAACGAUUGUCUAUCAUGUGUUAACGUGGUAGACUACUUCGAAUAUGAAUGCUACCUGG